This 721-nucleotide ribosomal RNA is filed under the name uncultured bacterium. Its description in RNAcentral is "bacterial SSU rRNA". It matches the Rfam family "Bacterial small subunit ribosomal RNA", at positions 54 to 804 of the family's 1533-position model. The record is from RNAcentral.
CAGCUUGCGUAACGAGAAAGUAGGAGCAAUACCAUGAGUAAAGUGGCGACCGGCGUUGAGUAACACGUGACUAACCUACCUCCGAAUGGGGAAUAACUCCGGGAAACCGGGGCUAAUACCGCAUAACACCGCAAGGUCAAAGCAGCAAUGCGUUUGGAGAGGGGGUCGCGGCUGAUUAGCUAGUUGGCGGGGUAACGGCCCACCAAGGCGAAGAUCGGUAUCCGGCCUGAGAGGGCGCACGGACACACUGGAACUGAAACACGGUCCAGACUCCUACGGGAGGCAGCAGUGGGGACUUUUGCGCAAUGGGGGAAACCCUGACGCAGCAACGCCGCGUGGAGGAUGAAGUCCCUUGGGACGUAAACUCCUUUCGAUCGGGACGAUUAUGACGGUACCGGAAGAAGAAGCCCCGGCUAACUUCGUGCCAGCAGCCGCGGUAAUACGAGGGGGGCGAGCGUUGUUCGGAAUUAUUGGGCGUAAAGGGCGCGUAGGCGGUGCGGUAAGUCACCUGUGAAACCUCUGGGCUCAACUCAGAGCCUGCAGGCGAAACUGCCGUGCUGGAGUGUGGGAGAGGUGCGUGGAAUUCCCGGUGUAGCGGUGAAAUGCGUAGAUAUCGUGAGGAACACCAGAGGCGAAGGCGGCUACCUGGACAAUUGCUGACGCUCAGGCACGAAAGCGUGGGGAGCAAAAGGGAUUAGAUACCCCUGUAGUCCACGCCCUA